CCCCAGGUUUAACUGCCGGCCACAGCCCAGCCUCGCCGAAGUUCGCCACUCAUCGCCAGCCCAUCACCGUUGACAUCCUGUCUGCCUGCAUCCAGACGCUGAGAUCAGGUUACGUUUCCAUCUCAGUCUUGCUACGUUGGGAUUGAUGUUUCUUUCUAUUCCUGUGACGUUGCCGAGUUCACUUCCUCAUCGUCUACCUACAUGCCUUCUGAUCAUCUCCGCUGUCCGACAUCACCGUCUUCGACAAGGAUACUGUUGAUAAUUGAGAUGUGCAGGAGAGUGAGCCGGUCAAGGAUAGAUUCGGACAAAGCGGUAGAUUGUAUGACAAGCGACAGUUUAUUCAGAGUAAAGAUAUCUGGUACAGCGUGCACGGGCUCUUUCUAGUAACUCCGAGUGAGCUAGAAGAGAGAGAGCUCUAAUACAGUUUGUUUACAUGUUUUAUACAGCACAGAAAGUAGGUUGAGUCUUGAAGUCCUGGUUCUCUGGUUGGAUCAGGUCCAGGCGUAGCCUCUGCUGAUUGGCUCCUGCAGCCCAUGCUUCAGCCGUUGUUUUAUGUCCUUGUUGUUUUCCUGAGUCCAGGGUGUGUGUGUGUGUGUGUGUCCUAGAUAAGGUUAUCUUAUGCAGCUUAUGUGUGCAAUGAGUCUAUGUGUCUUAAUGUAUGUUCCUGUUUUCACAGGGUCAGGCUUUGGCCGAUACUGCUGAUUUAAGGCUUUGUGGUCGAGCCAGUUCCUGUCUAUGUGCUGUUAUUGAGACAUCAGCACAUUCGUUAAACAGAUCAGUUUGGCAGAACCUCACCAGUCUACCUGUUGCGACUGCCAUGUCUCCACAGUCCUUACCAACCAUUCACCAAAUUCUGGACACGGCAUCCCAGACUAUACCGUACAACUCCUCGGACGCUGAUCCUCUCAAGUCUGUCAUUUCUACAUCCACUCUGUCAUCAAAAACAUCAGGACAGCCCACAACAUGCUCAUCUAUCAGAACCUUCCAGUCUCUGCCUCAUUUCACACACACCAUCUACCUCACGCACCGAAUCUUACCCAACCAGUCAAAAAGAGGAUUGGCUCCCCAGCUGAGUCUGGUUCCUCUCAAGGUUUUGUCGUGAUAAUUAUUCAAACCAAAGGAGAGACUUUCAGACAGACCAGCAGUUCACACUGCUGAAAUGUUGUCAUCGUAAAUGGACGGUCAGCGUUAAACCUCAGAGGCUCCUCUCAGAAAAAAACGACAUUGUGAAUGUACUAAUAUAGGAACACAUUCUAAUAUAAAAGUCAUGUGAUUAACAUAAUGUUGUAAUUCUACCACAGUUUUCUUCUUUCAAGGGAGUUUUUUCCUUGCCGACCGUCACUUCUGCUUGUUCUCCUGGGGUCUAAGACUGAGUCCCUCUGUGGGCAUCUCAUCCAUAUGUCUGUACAGAUGUAGGAUCUUCAUUUGAGCCUGUUUGUUAAAGGAGGAAAAUAAUCCUGCAGCAACCGUAAAUGUGAAUUUUUAUAUGAAUUAUAAUGAAUGUAUAUUUUUAUGUUUGGGGUUGAUACAUUUUACGUUAGGGCAAAUUAGGUCUGAAAUAUUACUAGUGUUACUAAUAUACUAAUAUUACUAAUAUUACUAUUAUUAGUGGAAAUUACAAACGUUAGAAGCCUUUUAAAACAUUGAAUACACUACACGUUUGCAUGUCCUUCUGUGCAAGAACAUACAAUUAAGAUCUUACAUCUGUACUACCUAAACUAUUUUGCCAACCAUUCAGCACCUGGAGUCCAGAACAGCUCACUUCCUCUCCAGGGUCUGACUAUCUUGAAGUUCUCUUUUUGGGGAUUACCAUCACAACAGUAGCCUAACUACUAUAGCCUGGCGAUGAUGUCUACCUAAGACUCUAAGCCAAACUCUACAGAGUCCACCCCCUGGAUCCUUCGUCUGCAGCCUUCAGCUUCAUUCGGUCCAUUCUCAUUCCCCUUUGGAAUCCUCAUUCCCCUUUGGAAUCCUCAUUCCCCUUUGGAAUUCUCAUUCCCCUUUGGAAUUCUCAUUCCCCUUUGGAAACCUCAUUCCCCUUUGGAAACCUCAUUCCCCUUUGGAAUCCUCAUUCCCCUUUGGAAUCCUCAUUCCCCUUUGGAAUCCUCAUUCCCCUUUGGAAUCCUCAUAAAUAUUCUAAACCCAUUUCAAAUGUCUGGUCCUUCAAUUUGUGAAAUUGUAGUGACGUUAAUGUUACAGAUGGAAAAUAUUUGCCAAUGUAGGUAACGUAGCAGUAGCUAACACUUUAUUGCUUAUUGUGUAAGAUUAGUUAGUGGAGGAUAAAAGACCUGAAUGCUAUGGAUGUGUAGCUAUGUAGCCGAUCUGUGUAAAGACCCUAAAACAUUUGGUAUAAUAAUAGUUGUGGAAUGAAAAUCCUAUGGAAUGAACUAUGGAAUGAAAGUCCUAUGGAAUGAACUAUGGAACGAACUAUGCUUCAAUACAUCUCCACGUUGAACAACAGCUAGUGGAUGGGUACAAAUAUGGAGCCCUUUAAAUGUUACAACAUUUGAGAGACGAUGCGGUACGGUGGCCAAUUUGGCCUCUGGAGCCUCGAGCAUUAAAUUACUCUUAGUUGACAGUAGGUGCGCGCCUCCUGUGUAAACACUGCUAAUGGACAUUUGCCAGAAUUGCCCUACUGCCCAUCCGUCCCUGACACUUCCAUAAAACAAAUUGUGUUGUUUUUACAUUAACUUACUGGCAGUCACUUACCUAUAAUUUACUGUUAAAAAGGGUAAAGUAUGCUAUCGUAAAUUGCAAAGAAACGUUUGUUUAACAGUACAUUACUUUAAUGAACUGUUAAACCAAGGUUUCUUUCUGAUCUUAUGUCCAACACUCCACCAUCCUGCACUGUAAAACAAAUCCAGUUGUUUUUACAGUAACUUACAGGCAGUCAGUUGCCAGAAAGUUACUGUAAAAAGGUAGAGAAUGUUAAUGUUGCACUUCUGUACUGUCACGCCCUGGCCUUAGUAUUCUGUGUUUUCUUUAUUAUGUUGGUUAGGCCAGGGUGUGACAUGGGUGAUUAUGUGUUUGUCUUGUCUAGGGGUUUUGUAGAUUGAUGGGGUUGUGUUCAGUGUAGCAUUCUAGGUAAGUCUAUGCCUUGCCUAGAGUGGUUCUCAAUCAGAGGCAGGUGUUUAUUGUUGUCUCUGAUUGGGAACCAUAUUUAGGCAGCCAUAUUCUUUGGGCAUUUUGUGGGUGAUUGUUUCCUGUCUCUGUGUUUUGCACCAGUGUUUUGGUUUUUCCACGUUUUUAAUAUGUAUAUUGUUCACGUUAUCAUCUUUAUUAAAGAUGUUCAACCAUAA
Long non-coding RNA from Oncorhynchus kisutch (coho salmon), 3299 nucleotides. RefSeq lists it as uncharacterized. The transcript has 2 exons. Lineage: Eukaryota; Metazoa; Chordata; Actinopteri; Salmoniformes; Salmonidae. The record is from RefSeq and is a predicted model, not a curated record.